CGCGACGGGGUAUUGUAAGUGGCAGAGUGGCCUUGCUACCACGAUCCACUGAGAUUCAGCCCUUUGUCGCUUCGCUUCGU
RNAcentral lists this non-coding RNA (80 nucleotides) under Gossypium arboreum. RNAcentral describes it as "Eukaryotic large subunit ribosomal RNA". It matches the Rfam family "Eukaryotic large subunit ribosomal RNA", at positions 3320 to 3401 of the family's 3401-position model. Lineage: Eukaryota; Viridiplantae; Streptophyta; Magnoliopsida; Malvales; Malvaceae. The record is from Rfam by way of RNAcentral.